Molecule: long non-coding RNA, 621 nt
Organism: Photinus pyralis (common eastern firefly)
Lineage: Eukaryota; Metazoa; Arthropoda; Insecta; Coleoptera; Lampyridae
Exons: 3
Source: RefSeq, a predicted model, not a curated record
GCCGUGCUUUGAUUUUCAAUUGGUAACCUCUUGGCCAAGCCGAAUUGCAUUAUUUUGAUUAAUCAAUAACCUUUCUUUUUCUUUUCUUUUCUUUUUUGCUGAUGAAGCGAUAUUCCUGGAAGUGUUUUUAUCGCCACCAUAGAUGACGGCGAACGUGCCCGAAAAUGUUAGUAAUACUGAAAAGGUACUCCUAAACGCUUGAUAAACGAUGAAAGCCAUAUUGUGUUUUUUGGGUUGUUUGCUGCUGGUGAACGCUAGACCCCCAUGAGAUUGGGAUAUACUCGAAGGAGAUGAUCGCGUCUCGAGCGACCUUCAGAACUGUCACGGUCUCGAGUGUCCAGCGGAAACAUUUGGUUGCAGGAAAAUAAGUGACAGUUCGGCUGACUUGAAGACGGUGACGGCAAUAAUUCAAUGCGAGGAUAUUCAUGGUAAAGUCCUAAACUCGGUCACCAAAACCUACCCAAAUCCUCACGAGGACACUUACGUCUCCUUGGUGUCGUUUAUUGACAAGUCCGAUGGACCAUUGUUCAAACACGACUCAGGAUUUAACCACUCCACUCCACUUCCAAUCCGAUUAUCGUCAUAAGAAAAGAUCGCGAUGAUCACGGUAACUAUUGGGAU